This 465-nucleotide ribosomal RNA is filed under the name Vreelandella stevensii. Its description in RNAcentral is "partial 16S ribosomal RNA". It matches the Rfam family "Bacterial small subunit ribosomal RNA", at positions 338 to 795 of the family's 1533-position model. The record is from RNAcentral. Lineage: Bacteria; Pseudomonadati; Pseudomonadota; Gammaproteobacteria; Oceanospirillales; Halomonadaceae.
CCUACGGGAGGCUGCAGUGGGGAAUAUUGGACAAUGGGCGAAAGCCUGAUCCAGCCAUGCCGCGUGUGUGAAGAAGGCCUUCGGGUUGUAAAGCACUUUCAGUGGGGAAGAAAGCCUUGGGGCUAAUACCCUCGAGGAAGGACAUCACCCACAGAAGAAGCACCGGCUAACUCCGUGCCAGCAGCCGCGGUAAUACGGAGGGUGCGAGCGUUAAUCGGAAUUACUGGGCGUAAAGCGCGCGUAGGCGGUCUGAUAAGCCGGUUGUGAAAGCCCCGGGCUCAACCUGGGAACGGCAUCCGGAACUGUCAGGCUAGAGUGCAGGAGAGGAAGGUAGAAUUCCCGGUGUAGCGGUGAAAUGCGUAGAGAUCGGGAGGAAUACCAGUGGCGAAGGCGGCCUUCUGGACUGACACUGACGCUGAGGUGCGAAAGCGUGAGUAGCAAACAGGAUUAGAUACCCCUGUAGUC